UCCGAAUUGGUGUAGUGGUUAACAUUUGUCGCUCUCAUCGGAGCAGCACCGACAGGCCCGGGGUUCGAUUCCCCGAUUCGGAA
Non-coding RNA from Sodiomyces alkalinus F11, 83 nucleotides. The record is from the annotation of a RefSeq genome assembly. NCBI's taxonomy places the organism in Eukaryota, Fungi, Ascomycota, Sordariomycetes, Glomerellales, Plectosphaerellaceae.